This 70-nucleotide transfer RNA is filed under the name Dipodomys ordii (Ord's kangaroo rat). It matches the Rfam family "tRNA". Rfam says of the family: Transfer RNA (tRNA) molecules are approximately 80 nucleotides in length. Their secondary structure includes four short double-helical elements and three loops (D, anti-codon, and T loops). Further hydrogen bonds mediate the characteristic L-shaped molecular structure. tRNAs have two regions of fundamental functional importance: the anti-codon, which is responsible for specific mRNA codon recognition, and the 3' end, to which the tRNAs corresponding amino acid is attached (by aminoacyl-tRNA synthetases). tRNAs cope with the degeneracy of the genetic code in two manners: having more than one tRNA (with a specific anti-codon) for a particular amino acid; and 'wobble' base-pairing, i.e. permitting non-standard base-pairing at the 3rd anti-codon position. Lineage: Eukaryota; Metazoa; Chordata; Mammalia; Rodentia; Heteromyidae. The record is from Rfam by way of RNAcentral.
GGGAAUGUGGCUUAGUGGUAAGGUGCUUGCCUAACAUGUAUGAAGCCCUAGGUUUGAUUCCUCAGUACCA